UACAGAGGUCUCAAGCGUUGUUCGGAUUCAUUGGGCGUAAAGGGUGCGUAGGCGGCGCGGUUAGUCGGGUGUGAAAUCUCGGAGCUUAACUCCGAAACUGCAUUCGAUACUGCCGUGCUUGAGGACUGGAGAGGAGACUGGAAUUUACGGUGUAGCGGUGAAAUGCGUAGAUAUCGUAAGGAAGACCAGUGGCGAAGGCGGGUCUCUGGACAGUUCCUGACGCUGAGGCACGAAGGCCAGGGGAGCAAACGGG
This 253-nucleotide ribosomal RNA is filed under the name uncultured bacterium. Its description in RNAcentral is "partial 16S ribosomal RNA". It matches the Rfam family "Bacterial small subunit ribosomal RNA", at positions 524 to 776 of the family's 1533-position model. The record is from RNAcentral.